UCGGGAAUUUUGGGCAAUGGGCGAAAGCCUGACCCAGCAACGCCGCGUGAAGGAUGAAGUUUUUCGGAAUGUAAACUUCGUAAGAAUAGGAAGAAUAAAUGACGGUACUAUUUGUAAGGUCCGGCUAACUACGUGCCAGCAGCCGCGGUAAUACGUAGGGACCAAGCGUUGUUCGGAUUUACUGGGCGUAAAGGGCGCGUAGGCGGCAAUUCAAGUCAGCUGUGAAAUCUCCGGGCUUAACUCGGAACGGUCAGCUGAUACUGCUUUGCUAGAGUGCAGAAGGGGCAAUCGGAAUUCUUGGUGUAGCGGUGAAAUGCGUAGAUAUCAAGAGGAACACCUGAGGUGAAGACGGGUUGCUGGGCUGACACUGACGCUGAGGCGCGAAAGCUAGGGUAGCAAACGGG
Molecule: ribosomal RNA, 404 nt
Filed under: uncultured bacterium
Lineage: Bacteria
Description: bacterial SSU rRNA
Rfam family: Bacterial small subunit ribosomal RNA
Source: RNAcentral